Molecule: ribosomal RNA, 403 nt
Filed under: uncultured bacterium
Lineage: Bacteria
Description: partial 16S ribosomal RNA
Rfam family: Bacterial small subunit ribosomal RNA
Source: RNAcentral
GACGAACGCUGGCGGCGUGCCUAAUACAUGCAAGUCGAACGCAGUGGGGACGGGUGAGUAACACGUGGGUAACCUCCCAUCAGAGGUGAUAACACUUGGAAACAGGUGCUAAACCGAUACUGAUGGAUGAACCCGCGGUGCAUUAGCUAGUUGGUGAGGUAACGGCUCACCAAGGCCACGAUGCAUAGCAGACCUGGGAGGGGGCACGGCCGCACAGAGACUGAGACACGGCCCAGACUCCUACGGGAGGCAGCAGUAGGGAAUCUUCGGCAAUGGACGAAAGUCUGACCGAGAGACGCCGCGUGAGUGAAGAAGGUUUUCGGAUCGUAAAACUCUGUUGUUAGAGAAGCGGUAUCUAGCCAGAAAGCCACGGCUAACUACGUGCCAGCCGCCGCGGUAAAAC